RNAcentral lists this ribosomal RNA (496 nucleotides) under uncultured bacterium. Its description in RNAcentral is "partial 16S ribosomal RNA". It matches the Rfam family "Bacterial small subunit ribosomal RNA", at positions 29 to 507 of the family's 1533-position model. The record is from RNAcentral.
AUGAACGCUGGCGGCGUGCCUAAUACCUGCCAGUCGAGCGAACAGAUGAGGAGCUUGCUCCUCUGACGUUAGCGGCGGACGGGUGAGUAACACGUGGAUAACCUACCUAUAAGACUGGGAUAACUUCGGGAAACCGGAGCUAAUACCGGAUAAUAUAUUGAACCGCAUGGUUCAAUAGUGAAAGACGGCUUUGCUGUCACUUAUAGAUGGAUCCGCGCCGCAUUAGCUAGUUGGUAAGGUAACGGCUUACCAAGGCAACGAUGCGUAGCCGACCUGAGAGGGUGAUCGGCCACACUGGAACUGAGACACGGUCCAGACUCCUACGGGAGGCAGCAGUAGGGAAUCUUCCGCAAUGGGCGAAAGCCUGACGGAGCAACGCCGCGUGAGUGAUGAAGGUCUUCGGAUCGUAAAACUCUGUUAUUAGGGAAGAACAAAUGUGUAAGUAACUAUGCACGUCUUGACGGUACCUAAUCAGAAAGCCACGGCUAACUACGUG